UGUGUGUGCAUCAGUCUCUCGAGAACCCCCUGUGAAUCAGGAGGCAUACGUUCCAGUGACUAUAGGGAGUCGAGGGGCUAAAGAGAUGAUAAAGAAAAAAUGAGGAAAUGCUGUGAAGAACUAAUAGAACGUUUCAGAAGCAGAACAAGUCGAGAGCAGUGAUGACCCUUUUCUUCCUGCUAGUACCUCCUGUCUGUCUGGCUGAACUCACCAUCAGAUGAUGUCUUGAACCUCACCUAGAUGGGCUGGUGGUGUGUGGCCAGGUUAAGAGCACCAACAGGAGUAAGAAAGUGACCUGCCUGGUUUUACCGUGUGCACUAGGGGAGGGGUUGAAAGCUUUCGGUUGAUACAUCACCUCUGGGAGUUGAAGAAGAAUGCAAUUAAGAGAGCUAAAGAAGUCAGUAGGUAUCUCUCCUGAACAAUUCUGGUUUUCUUCUAAUAGCUUUUACAAUUUUUACCUCUGUUAUGAAAUGCAAACUUUUAACCAAUAUUAGUAAUAGUAAUCUCAAAUCUCAUCAUCAUCAAAAUCUUAUUUAUGAAAUGUAGGAGUUAGUUCAUAUACAGCCUUAGCCUUUUCCACAUUAUAAAAUAUAUUCCAUAUAUAUGUGUGAUCUUCAUUUAAUAUUCAAGUAAAUGUUGUAAGAUAUUGUUAUUUUUAUUCUAACAUUUCACAGGUAUAGAAUCUGAAACUCAGAGGUCAACUGAUGUGUCAAAGAUACCUCCACAAAUCAGUACCUUGAUUAAAACUAAAAUUGGAGUCAUCUUCAUAUCUUCAUCUUUCUCCCUCUUCAUUAGGACCGAUUGUAGUCUGUUUCCCUCUCACUCACUUGCAAUCUUUAUUGCUUUAGUGUUGCAUUUGAUUUUUAUCUUUGUUUUUGUUUUAAAUACUGUCAUUAAAGUCAUAGAAAAAUCUAAAGUAAAACUGGUUGAAUAAAAAUUUUAAAAUCGACUCUAAUGUAAUAAACCAGACAAAAAUGAUACUUUACAUGUUAUAUCUUCCCUUUAAACUACAAAUAUUCAUUGAGUGUAUACCCUGUAUUAGGCUGUUGGAAUAAAACAGGGAAGAAGACAGAAGAAACUGCACCGCCAUCUUAGAUCUUGCAGCCAAAUUCCUCUGAACUUUUCUCUAAAGACGUGCUCUGGAAAAAUGUUGAUCAUUUUCCUACAUCAUGGAGGUCUUUUCAUGACCACCUUUGUCUAGACAAUGUCCUGUUUUUAGGUGCACGUUUGAGGGCUGGAGUCUCUGACCCACAGUGCUGCAGCCUGCACGUGGUUUGUCCUGACUUCUUUGCUACUUCACUUUUCGUAAGGCUCUGAGAGUGCAGGCCCUUGUGGGUGGACACUGCAGGGUGAGAGGAAGAAGUAAACUACUUUUUUCCGUUUCUGAUGGGGGUGUGGGUCAGCAGCUAUAAGCAACAGGGACCAUGGGGGGCCUCAGACUUCAGCACCUGAGAGGCAGUUUCAGUCGUAUUGGGGAGAUGCAGGCAUCUGGGUUGCUGCACAUCACCAGGGCAGGGUUCUCUCAGCAGCCCUGGAGUGCAGAGUUCCCAUCAGCUCAGCAGUGAGGGGCACAUGGGGCUCCAG
This 1584-nucleotide long non-coding RNA is filed under the name Homo sapiens (human). RNAcentral's name for it is "PREDICTED lncRNA (TCONS_00024699)". Lineage: Eukaryota; Metazoa; Chordata; Mammalia; Primates; Hominidae. The record is from RNAcentral.